ACCAGUAUGGUCUAGUGGUCUGAAUGUUGGACUAGGAUUCUGGGAGACUAGGGUUCAAAUCCCUGUAGUCCUG
Molecule: non-coding RNA, 73 nt
Organism: Phrynosoma platyrhinos (Desert horned lizard)
Lineage: Eukaryota; Metazoa; Chordata; Lepidosauria; Squamata; Phrynosomatidae
Source: the annotation of a GenBank genome assembly